GCAUAUCAAUAAGCGGAGGAAAAGAAACCCAACAGGGAUUGCCUCAGUAACGGCGAAGUGAAGCGGCAACAGCUCAAAUUUGAAAUCUGGCUCUUUCAGAGUCCGAGUUGUAAUUUGUAGAAGAUGCUUCGGGUGCGGCCCCAGUCUAAGUUCCUUGGAAGAGGACGUCAUAGAGGGUGAGAAUCCCGUAUGUGACCAGGUGCCCGCGCCCAUGUGAAGCUCUUUCGACGAGUCGAGUUGUUUGGGAAUGCAGCUCUAAAUGGGUGGUAUAUUUCAUCUAAAGCUAAAUAUUGGCCAGAGACCGAUAGCGCACAAGUAGAGUGAUCGAAAGAUGAAAAGCACUUUGGAAAGAGAGUUAAACAGUACGUGAAAUUGUUGAAAGGGAAGCGCUUGCAAUCAGACUUGCGCGCCGUCGAUCAUCCCAGGUUCUCCUGGGUGCACUCGGCGGCGCUCAGGCCAGCAUCGGUUCUAGUGGUGGGAUAAAGGCCUUGGGAAUGUAGCUCCUUUCGGGGAGUGUUAUAGCCCUCGGUGCAAUGCCGCCUACCGGGACCGAGGACCGCGCUUCGGCUAGGAUGCUGGCGUAAUGGUUGUAAGCGACCCGUCUUGAAACACGGACCAAGGAGUCUAACAUCUAUGCGAGUGUUUGGGUGUCAAACCCAUACGCGUAAUGAAAGUGAACGGAGCUAAGAACCCUUUAGGGUGCAUUAGCGACCGAUCCUGAUGUCUUCGGACGGAUUUGAGUACGAGCAUAGCUGUUGGGACCCGAAAGAUGGUGAACUAUGCCUGAAUAGGGUGAAGCCAGAGGAAACUCUGGUGGAGGCUCGCAGCGGUUUCUGACGUGCAAAUCGAUCGUCAAAUUUGGGGCAUAAGGGGCGAAAGACUAAUCGAACCAUCUAGUAGCUGGUUCCUGCCGAAG
Molecule: ribosomal RNA, 916 nt
Filed under: Ascocoryne sarcoides
Lineage: Eukaryota; Fungi; Ascomycota; Leotiomycetes; Helotiales; Gelatinodiscaceae
Description: LSU rRNA
Rfam family: Eukaryotic large subunit ribosomal RNA
Source: RNAcentral